UACCCUCCCACGGAGCUAACCUCAAUGUCCUCAAUUUAAUUUGCUUCUGCUUGCACAAUGCACUGAUACUUCUUGGCUCUUUGUUGUUCAGUGUUCCUGUUGUUACUAUUAUUAUUAGCUCUGAAAUUGUGAAAUUGGAAAUAGAAAUUAGUUACAGCAGCCUAUACAAUUUAUACAAUUAUUGGUUAAUAUGCCUUUGACAGGCCAAUAUGAAUAUAGGACUAUGCCUCCACAUCAGGCCUAGUCAUAACAAACUUCAGAAACAGAAUCAAGUAAACUGUCAGUUUACCUUGUUCUUGUUAGAUUUAAUCCUGUUAUCAACAUGUGUGAUGAUGCCAAACAAGAAGCCAGACUUAAUGUCCUUUAUUCUCCAUUCAGAAAAAAAGAAGUUAACCCACAAGAUUGGGAGUCUAAAAUGAGUUACUGGAAAUGUAAUAUCACAAAUUGGUGCAUAGCUUCUCAGAUAUGUGUAUUUUCACAAUCAAAACUGCAGACUGUGUUUGUUAGAAAUGGACGACCAGCAUCAUGUCUAACAACAGUUUUGGAAAAUAUGAUAAGGAACAAUGAAGUUAUUCGCCUCGAGGAACUACUCAGCAAGGACCAGCCAACUCUCCAGUCUUGGUCCACUUGGGCUGUCAACUGCUUUAUCAAAGCACCAGUUGUAUGGUCAUUUUCUAAAAUGAAAGAGUCUUUAAUAUCUAAACCUGAUGACAGAUGUGAUGAAGAGUACGUCCAUUUGACCGUCCUGAAGAAACUAACAGAAGACCUGAAGAAGAAAAUAUUGAAUAAAUAUGGACAGUCAAUUAUUAAUCUGGAUGAAAUUAAAGCAGUUAUAGAUAUAAAAGAUGAACCUAGUUUGAACGCUACUCUUCAUUGGCUAAAACUUCAAGGCCAAGCAGCAGUGACUGUGGUAAACAACAAAACUUUAAUUAAGCUGGCACGAGAUAGUGAAAGAGUGAGCUUGAUUAAUGAGACGGACAUAGGGAUGUUUCGGCUACAACACAACGAGCGAACAUUGAAGCAAAUGCUGGAGCAGCUGGAAACUGAGCGCCAGGCAGCAGACCUAGAGGCUCGCAACUACUUAAAGAAAGGCAUGAGACAAUCUGCUAAAACCUGUCUUAGAAAAAGAAAAGAACUGGAAAAGUGUAUUGAAAAGAGAGCUUCAGCAUUGGAAAAUGUCCAAGUACUACUGACAAGGGUGAAGGAAGCAGAGUCAGAUGGCAAGAUUUUGGAGUCAUACAAGAUGGGUUUGGAGGCUCUAAAAGCUACAUUCAAGAGUGCAGGGCUCUCUGAAGAUAGUGUUGGAGAUACGAUGGACCAAGUUCGAGAGGUAUAUUGUAGGGGUCUGCGGUGCACCGAAAAAAGGUUCUUGAAGUACAUGAAGAAGUUCAGAAUGCAUUGUCUGGGCCUGUAGCUUCCAGUUUGGACGAGGAUUUAGAGAAGGAAUUGGCAGAACUUCUGCUUGAGGAUAAGAAAGUUCUUCCAUCUCCAAGCUUGCCAGACUUGCCAGAGCCACCGACCCAUUCUCCUGAUUCGUCUUCAAUAAGAGUUUAUAGCAAGAGUAUCAAACAAUUUUCACAAUAAUGUUACCCUAACUAAAAAUAUUGAAGUAUAAACGUGUAAAUAUAAUAGUUAUAUUUUACUAAUAAUGUAUAUUCUUAUUGUAUAACUUCAGUAUGCAAGUAGACAGAUACCAAAAUUA
This is an RNA transcript of Macrosteles quadrilineatus (aster leafhopper), 1702 nucleotides long. It is a transcript of the gene named charged multivesicular body protein 7, with no coding region annotated. The record is from RefSeq and is a predicted model, not a curated record. Lineage: Eukaryota; Metazoa; Arthropoda; Insecta; Hemiptera; Cicadellidae. The transcript is spliced from 9 exons.